UUCACAGGGGCCUCCCAGCCCAUGCAACAGGCCCCCAUCUGGCCCGAGUAGCUCAUUGCUACUGAGGGAGGGUGGGGGAAACACACCCUGGCCCAGGGGGCAGAGGACACACUGUUCCCACCUGGCCCCAGGAGACCUCAGGCCACUCCUGGCCACAGCAGGACAAAGCUCUGACCUCUCCUUUCUGCCAACAGAGCUGCUUCCUGGGAUGAGGGGUGGGGGGCCCAGCGAACUGACUCUGCUCAGGGGCGCUGCCCAGCAAAGUCUCUCCCCGACCACUCUGGGCCCCUCCAGCCACCUCAAAGGGGCCUUCAAAGCUGUGGAAAGCAGAAGGAAUCCCCCCCUCCCCUCUUGCUCCAUUACUAGGCUGGAAGGAGACCUCAUCAUCCCAGAGAGAGGGGUGAGGGAGAGAGGGUGGGGGCUCUGUUCCCAGGCCUCCCCCUGCUCCAGGCAGGAAGCAGUGGGGCAGAGGCGGGCUGACGUGGCUUCAAGGGCCUGGGUGGUGCUCUAGGGAGCUCUUACACAACAGCACAGAUCCGGCCCGUCCAGGAACUCAUUGGCGUGGGGCAGGGACUGAUUUCCCCAGGAGAAGAGGGCCUGGCUGAGGUUGAGGGAGUGAGAAGGACUGCCAGCCAUGGGCACCGGGGAGUCGACAAGAGAGGUGCAGGAGGCGGCUCCGGGGCUGUAUCCAGAGCAGGAAGCUGGUGCAGUUCCCAGGGCCGGGGUCUGUCCUCAUAGGAGGCUCUCGGCAUCAUAGUAGUCUGGGGAAACAAGAACCUCAUCUUGACUCCCUCCUGUCUCAGUGGACCCCAAAGAGGUAAAGGGAAGGGGACAGGCCAGUUGCCUGCAGCAGUGAUGUUAGGAAACCCCCAAACCCCACCAGAGGGCACAGGGCCCUCCUGGCCUCCUGAUUCACUCCCAGGCCUGGGCCCCGCUGCCCACCACCCCAGCCCUACCUGAAGCCGGGGGUACAUCAGCACCCACAGUCCCUGUGGCACUGGGGGGUGGGGGUGGGGGCACAGCUCUCCUGAGAUGGGGGAAAGAAAAAGACCCCCAUCAGAGGCCCAGGGGUGGCCUCUGGAGUUUCACCCACAAGUUAUCUCCACCGACCACCAGCCCCUGCACAGCUCUUCUGCAACUUCCAGCCCAGAGCAGAACCCUGGCAGCACCCAGCCUCACUUACACCUCCCUUUCCCUGGAGGCAGGACAGUGCUGAAUCCUGGGCACGUCCUGCAAGUAGGGCUGACAAGCAGGGGUGGGGAAGAAGGGGGCUGGCCAGGGCAGCAGGGCACCCGGGGAGGGCAUCAAAUAGGGCAAGUAGUGGUGGUGAAACACCAAAGGCCCUUUCUCCCGCACGUCCAUCUCCUCCUCCUCCUCCUCAGGCUCUUCCUGUGGAACCUCCAGGUAGACCUGGGGAUUGUGCAAAACAGGGAGGGGAAAUGAGAAUCUACCAUCAGGCUCUCCCCACCGCCACUCCUCCAUUCCCCUAAGUUAUUUCCUCCAGAUAGGCUUUGUAAGAAUGGCUUGUGGCCAGGCAUGGUGGCUCACGCCUGUAAUCCCAGCACUGUGGGAGGCCGAGGCGGGCGGAUCACAAGGUCAGGAGAUUGAGACCAUCCUGGCUAACACGGUGAAACCCC
This 1637-nucleotide long non-coding RNA is filed under the name Homo sapiens (human). RNAcentral describes it as "non-protein coding lnc-ICAM2-2:1". The record is from RNAcentral. Lineage: Eukaryota; Metazoa; Chordata; Mammalia; Primates; Hominidae.